This 667-nucleotide ribosomal RNA is filed under the name uncultured cyanobacterium. RNAcentral's name for it is "bacterial SSU rRNA". It matches the Rfam family "Bacterial small subunit ribosomal RNA", at positions 99 to 795 of the family's 1533-position model. Lineage: Bacteria; Bacillati; Cyanobacteriota. The record is from RNAcentral.
CGGACGGGUGAGUAACGCGUGAGAAUCUGCCAUCAGGUCUGGGACAACCACUGGAAACGGUGGCUAAUACCGGAUGUGUCCGUAAUUGGGUGAAAGGUUAACUGCCUGUUGAUGAGCUCGCGUCUGAUUAGCUAGUUGGAAGUGUAAUGGACUCCCAAGGCGACGAUCAGUAGCUGGUCUGAGAGGACGAUCAGCCACACUGGGACUGAGACACGGCCCAGACUCCUACGGGAGGCAGCAGUGGGGAAUUUUCCGCAAUGGGCGAAAGCCUGACGGAGCAAUACCGCGUGAGGGAGGAAGGCUCUUGGGUCGUAAACCUCUUUUCUCAGGGAAGAACACAAUGACGGUACCUGAGGAAUAAGCAUCGGCUAACUCCGUGCCAGCAGCCGCGGUAAUACGGAGGAUGCAAGCGUUAUCCGGAAUGAUUGGGCGUAAAGCGUCCGCAGGUGGCAAUGUAAGUCUGCUGUUAAAGAGUCUAGCUCAACUAGAUAAGAGCAGUGGAAACUACAUAGCUAGAGUACGUUCGGGGCAGAGGGAAUUCCUGGUGUAGCGGUGAAAUGCGUAGAGAUCAGGAAGAACACCAGUGGCGAAGGCGCUCUGCUAGGCCGUAACUGACACUGAGGGACGAAAGCUAGGGGAGCGAAUGGGAUUAGAUACCCCAGUAGUC